Molecule: ribosomal RNA, 586 nt
Filed under: uncultured bacterium
Lineage: Bacteria
Description: partial 16S ribosomal RNA
Rfam family: Bacterial small subunit ribosomal RNA
Source: RNAcentral
UGGGGAAUUUUGGACAAUGGGCGAAAGCCUGAUCCAGCAAUGCCGCGUGUGUGAAGAAGGCCUUCGGGUUGUAAAGCACUUUUGUCCGGAAAGAAAUCCUUGGCUCUAAUACAGUCGGGGGAUGACGGUACCGAAAGAAUAAGCACCGGCUAACUACGUGCCAGCAGCCGCGGUAAUACGUAGGGUGCAAGCGUUAAUCGGAAUUACUGGGCGUAAAGCGUGCGCAGGCGGUUUGCUAAGACCGAUGUGAAAUCCCCGGGCUCAACCUGGGAACUGCAUUGGUGACUGGCAGGCUAGAGUAUGGCAGAGGGGGGUAGAAUUCCACGUGUAGCAGUGAAAUGCGUAGAGAUGUGGAGGAAUACCGAUGGCGAAGGCAGCCCCCUGGGCCAAUACUGACGCUCAUGCACGAAAGCGUGGGGAGCAAACAGGAUUAGAUACCCUGGUAGUCCACGCCCUAAAACGAUGUCAACUAGUUGUUGGGGAUUCAUUUCCUUAGUAACGUAGCUAACGCGUGAAGUUGACCGCCUGGGGAGUACGGUCGCAAGAUUAAAACUCAAAGGAAUUGACGGGGUCAUAGCUGUUUCCU